This 240-nucleotide ribosomal RNA is filed under the name uncultured bacterium. RNAcentral describes it as "partial 16S ribosomal RNA". It matches the Rfam family "Bacterial small subunit ribosomal RNA", at positions 15 to 244 of the family's 1533-position model. The record is from RNAcentral.
GAUCCUGGCUCAGGACGAACGCUGGCGGCGCGCCUAACACAUGCAAGUCGAGGGGAAACGACAUCGAAAGCUUGCUUUUGAUGGGCGUCGACCGGCGCACGGGUGAGUAACGCGUAUCCAACCUGCCCAUCACUUGGGAAUAACCUUGCGAAAGUAAGACUAAUACCCAAUGAUAUCCCACGAAGGCAUCCGAAUGGGAUUAAAGAUUUAUCGGUGAUGGAUGGGGAUGCGUCUGAUUAG